Molecule: ribosomal RNA, 805 nt
Filed under: uncultured bacterium
Lineage: Bacteria
Description: bacterial SSU rRNA
Rfam family: Bacterial small subunit ribosomal RNA
Source: RNAcentral
UGGCGAAUACUGCACAAGUGGGAGCGAUGCCUGAUGCAGCGACGCUGCGUGAGGGAUGAAGCCCUCGGGUUGUAACCUCUUUCAGCAGGGAAGAAGCGCAAGUGACGGUACCUGCAGUAUGAAGAGCUGGCUAACUACGUCCAGCAGUCGCGGUAAUACGUAGGGCGCAAGCGUUGUCCGGAAUUAUUGGGCGUAAAGAGCUCGUAGGCGGUUUGUCGCGUCUGCUGUGAAAACUCGAGGCUCAACCUCGGGCUUGCAGUGGGUACGGGCAGACUAGAGUGCGGUAGGGGAGACUGGAAUUCCUGGUGUAGCGGUGGAAUGCGCAGAUAUCAGGAGGAACAUCGAUGGCGAAGGCAGGUCUCUGGGCCGCAACUGACGCUGAGGAGCGAAAGCAUGGGGAGCGAACAGGAUUAGAUACCCUGGUAGUCCAUGCCGUAAACGUUGGGCACUAGGUGUGGGGCUCAUUCCACGAGUUCCGUGCCGCAGCAAACGCAUUAAGUGCCCCGCCUGGGGAGUACGGCCGCAAGGCUAAAACUCAAAGAAAUUGACGGGGGCCCGCACAAGCGGCGGAGCAUGCGGAUUAAUUCGAUGCAACGCGAAGAACCUUACCAAGGCUUGACAUACACCGGAAACUUCCAGAGAUGGUUGCCCCGCAAGGUCGGUGUACAGGUGGUGCAUGGUUGUCGUCAGCUCGUGUCGUGAGAUGUUGGGUUAAGUCCCGCAACGAGCGCAACCCUCGUCCUAUGUUGCCAGCGGGUCAUGCCGGGGACUCAUAGGAGACUGCCGGGGUCAACUCGGAGGAAGG